Erinaceus europaeus (western European hedgehog) is the source of this 339-nucleotide unclassified non-coding RNA. Its record names the gene 7SK. It matches the Rfam family "7SK RNA". From Rfam's summary of the family: 7SK was discovered as an abundant small nuclear RNA in the mid-70s but a possible function has only recently been suggested. Two independent studies have found that 7SK RNA binds the CDK9/cyclin T complex (known as elongation factor P-TEFb). The record is from Ensembl. NCBI's taxonomy places the organism in Eukaryota, Metazoa, Chordata, Mammalia, Eulipotyphla, Erinaceidae.
GGAUGUGAGGGCGACCUGACCACAACAUCUGUCACCCCACUGACUGCCGGGACUGAUUCAGCUGGUCUGACUGGCUAGGUGGGUGUCCCCAUCCUCCCUCAACGCUGCACGUGUGGCCCAUCGGAAGCUGCGCGCUGGGUCAAGGGGACCACCUCCCCCAAUAGAGACAGGCCAGUCUAUGGCCGAGGGUGUACAAGUAGCUAUGCUCCUUGGUUGGACCCUCCAGACAAGCCCCCAAUACCCGUGCCGUGCCAAACAGGAACGGAUCACGAUGGGAAGCGGCACAGUUUCGGGUCACAGAACUUACCGUGUCUUCGAAGUUGUCAGGAUUCAGACAAU